UUUAUCUUCGGAUAGAGAGACCGGCGCACGGGUGCGUAACGCGUAUGCAAUCUACCUUUUACAGAGGGAUAGCCCAGAGAAAUUUGGAUUAAUACCUCAUAGUAUAUAGACUCGGCAUCGAGAUUAUAUUAAAGUCACAACGGUAAAAGAUGAGCAUGCGUCCCAUUAGCUAGUUGGUAAGGUAACGGCUUACCAAGGCUACGAUGGGUAGGGGUCCUGAGAGGGAGAUCCCCCACACUGGUACUGAGACACGGACCAGACUCCUACGGGAGGCAGCAGUGAGGAAUAUUGGACAAUGGGCGCAAGCCUGAUCCAGCCAUGCCGCGUGCAGGAUGACGGUCCUAUGGAUUGUAAACUGCUUUUAUACGAGAAGAAACACUACUUCGUGAAGUAGCUUGACGGUAUCGUAAGAAUAAGGAUCGGCUAACUCCGUGCCAGCAGCCGCGGUAAUACGGAGGAUCCAAGCGUUAUCCGGAAUCAUUGGGUUUAAAGGGUCCGUAGGCGGUUUAAUAAGUCAGUGGUGAAAGCCCAUCGCUCAACGGUGGAACGGCCAUUGAUACUGUUAGACUUGAAUUAUUAGGAAGUAACUAGAAUAUGUAGUGAAGCGGUGAUGAGGAAAUGCUUAGAGAUUACAUGGAAUACCAAUUGCGAAGGCAGGUUACUACUAAUUGAUUGACGCUGAUGGACG
This 688-nucleotide ribosomal RNA is filed under the name Flavobacterium sp. RNAcentral's name for it is "bacterial SSU rRNA". It matches the Rfam family "Bacterial small subunit ribosomal RNA", at positions 73 to 755 of the family's 1533-position model. The record is from RNAcentral. Lineage: Bacteria; Pseudomonadati; Bacteroidota; Flavobacteriia; Flavobacteriales; Flavobacteriaceae.